Sapajus apella (tufted capuchin) is the source of this 346-nucleotide long non-coding RNA. RefSeq lists it as uncharacterized. The transcript has 3 exons. NCBI's taxonomy places the organism in Eukaryota, Metazoa, Chordata, Mammalia, Primates, Cebidae. The record is from RefSeq and is a predicted model, not a curated record.
CCAGGCAUGGUGGUGUGUGCCUGUAGUCUAGCUACUUGGGAGGCUAAGGUGGGAGGAUUGUUUGAGCCAGGAAGGUCAAGUCUUCAGUGAGCUGUAAUUGCACCACUGCACUCCAGCCUGGCCAACAGAGCAAGAUUCCAUCUCAAAAAAAAAAAAAAAAAAAAAAAAAAAAUCCAGGUCAGAACUCAGAGUUCUGGCUGUGUCCACGCAGCAGUUACAAACCCUUGAAUCAGGUAGCUAAUCCCAUGAAGCCUCAGCUCCCUUAGCUUUAAAAUCAGGAUAAUGUGGAAAACAGUGUGAAGAAUUCUCAAGGAACUAAAAAAUAGAACUACCAUUCGACCCAGCA